Pseudophryne corroboree (corroboree frog) is the source of this 1039-nucleotide long non-coding RNA. RefSeq lists it as uncharacterized. The transcript has 4 exons. Lineage: Eukaryota; Metazoa; Chordata; Amphibia; Anura; Myobatrachidae. The record is from RefSeq and is a predicted model, not a curated record.
UGCCAGCAUUCCGGCAUUUGGGAUUCCAGCGCCAGUAUGCUGCGUGCCGUGAUCCAGAGCGCGGAAUAGCGUACUAAUAAGUUGUGUCCUCUGUAUCACAAACUACAUCCUGUCCUGAAAUGCAGUCUUCAGAGAGAAGUCCCUGGAGAACAGCACAGCCUUCUUAAGAGAAAACGGUACCUUCUGCAAGUGCUGAUCUCUCGCAGGUCACUUCACCGAGGACUGUAAGGUCAGUGCUAACUGCCAUCUGGUAUCCUGGCGAAGCCUGGACAAGGCAAAACGCAUUGAUUACCAAUCAUAUCGAUCCUCUAAUGGCAACGCGAGGCACACACAGCGGGUUGCGAGGGAAGUCUACCGGCAGACACCAAAUCUACCCUGGGAACGGACACUCCACACAGGACGUAGGUGGCUACACCAGCUACACUUUGUAACGAAACCCCGGAGGAGGUAAGCUAAGUGUCUGUUGCCUUGUCCCAUUGGUCCGCCUGUCCCGGUGUAGCCCGCUGUCGUGGUCUCCCGGCAUCUGCAGUUGAGUGCAUCCAGAAGCAGCGCCAGCAGAGACGCGGGACAGUGGUUUCAAAUGGUAAAAUAAAGUCCUCUGAGAAGAGAUAUCCUUGGAGGCUUGACUCGGAACCUGGAAGACAUCAAAUGCACCAUUGCAGUUUUACUGAACUGAAUAUCCUGCUAUAUAAUGUUACAUUUUGCACAUGUAAGUGGUUUCAAAUGGUAAAGUAAAGUCCUCUGAGAAGAGAGAUCCUUGGAGGCUUGACUCGGAACCUGGAAGACAUCAAAUGCACCAUUGCAGUUUUACUGAACUGAAUAUCCUGCUAUAUAAUGUUACAUUUUGCACAUGUAAGGUACAUACUAGAUGUGUCAUCUUAUGAUAUACUGUAAAUUGUUCUUUUUCUUUACUUUGAAUAUUAAACUAUCCAUACCUAAUAUGUGAUCAGCCUACUGACCCUCAAUGAGGGUCAAAUUUAGAACAUGUGAUGUUAAUUGGUUCCAACAGUUAGUUCUUUAUCAGCUUUACAAGCCUCCU